UACGGGGGGGGGUAAGCGUUGUUCGGAAUUACUGGGCGUAAAGGGCUCGUAGGCGGCCAACUAAGUCAGACGUGAAAUCCCUCAGCUUAACUGGGGAACUGCGUCUGAUACUGGAUGGCUUGGAUUCGGGAGAGGAAUGCGGAAUUCCAGGUGUAGCGGUGAAAUGCGUAGAUAUCGGAAGGAACAUCAGUGGCGAAAGCGACUUCCUGGACCAAUACUGACGCUCAUGUGCGAAAGCGUGGGGAGCAAACAGG
This 254-nucleotide ribosomal RNA is filed under the name uncultured bacterium. RNAcentral's name for it is "partial 16S ribosomal RNA". It matches the Rfam family "Bacterial small subunit ribosomal RNA", at positions 524 to 776 of the family's 1533-position model. The record is from RNAcentral.